Molecule: ribosomal RNA, 253 nt
Filed under: uncultured bacterium
Lineage: Bacteria
Description: partial 16S ribosomal RNA
Rfam family: Archaeal small subunit ribosomal RNA
Source: RNAcentral
UACCAGCACCCCGAGUGGUCGGGACGAUUAUUGGGCCUAAAGCAUCCGUAGCCGGUUUUACAAGUCCUCCGUUAAAUCCAGCUGCUUAACAGAUGGGCUGCGGAGGAUACUAUAAGACUAGGAGGCAGGAGAGGCAAGCGGUACUCAGUGGGUAGGGGUAAAAUCCGUUGAUCCAUUGAAGACCACCAGUGGCGAAGGCGGCUUGCCAGAAUGCGCUCGACGGUGAGGGAUGAAAGCUGGGGGGGCAAACCGG